UUCCUGUUCGAAAGAGAGAAUCUGCAUACCUUGGGAAGGGCGUUGACAUGAGCGGCCUAGUUGCGACUGACGCCGACGAUCUUGGUGCCUUGCUUGAACUGCCUCUCUAUCAUCGACGUCGCCAUUUUCUCCGAUCUGAUAUCAAUCAAUACUCUGGUUGACUCUGGUGUCUAAGUAGAGAAUUACAUUGUUGUUCAAGUAAUAGACUUUACGAUAUAUGUUGCCAUUUGUGAAACAUUUUCGCUGAUGUCUAUUCUUUUAAGAGUUAACCAAAAACAAGGAAUUUAGUUCUCAGUUCAGUGUCAUCCUCAUGUGUCCAGCCCACGAUUGAUCACUUCUAUUGGUUAUCAGUUGUAGAGCAAACAGUGUUAUGUUUGUCAAUUUCAAGUAAUAUUAUAAUUCAGUCUCUCUUGGACUGAGAAAUCUAUUGUUUUCUAAAUUGUCUCAGGUAGUGUUCUAACACAAAGAUUGCUAAGCUGGUUACUGCAGAUGAGGUUACCGGAACUGAGAUAAUGAGAAUUCGGAAAAUCUCUUUGCUUACACCAAGCAGGAAUGCCAAGGUUAAAUAAAAGCGUAAGAUAACUCUGUUAAAAAAAAGCAUAUCCAUGUAGAUCACUAGCUUUUUACCUAUUGCAGCAAGCUUUUUCCGACUGCAUAGCCAUUAAUGAUGAUUUGAGCGUGACACUGCAUGGUAUUAUUUUGCCUGCAGCGAUUGUCAAACAAAGACCACCAGAGGCCCUUCUUCGUUGAUGUUAACCAAGUGUUGCAACACAACACUAACAUUGCUGGUGUAGCAAAGUAUGAACUCUAACCUCACAGCUUCUUGCUUAUCUUUCUCAAAUUUGAUUUUUGUUCUCUUUUAUUCGCAUGAAUCUUGCAAAGAUCUCUGUCUACGACAAUAAUAGCCAGGCUUUUUUCGUCCUACUUGGUGACGCAGGACGUGAGUGGACAUGGAAGCAUGCCUCGGAAUUAGUUGACAACAACUUUGAGGUAACUAGCCAUCAACUGAAAAUCCUCUCCCAGUUCAUUAAAACUCACUUUAUUCCUCCUCAAAAAUUUUAGGCUAAUCGAGAACUUGGUUCUUACCAUGAGAUGCAUGCCCCCAAAAUUUAUUCGACACCAUUCGGCAAACACAUUAGUUCAGGGUCAAGAUGUCUGACUACAACUCCACAGACAAGACUCAAGCUAUAACUGUUACUAAGAUUGUCUCACCAGGAGUUCUUCCACCUGUAACAACUCAACUGAAAUACCUCUUGAUGCAAACAAUGAAGUUGAUGUGCUCUCUGCAAGUGUCGUUGCGGGCUCUGGAUUCAAUACUGAUAAGCGAAAUGAAAGUAUCAGUAACAGGGAUGAAUCACAGAAGGCUAAGCGUCCGAAACGUGGAACAUAAGAGGACCAUCUAAGUCAAGACUAAACUAAAUUCAAUGCAUUAAGACCAUUACUAAGUCAAGACUAAACUAAAUUCAGUGCGUAAAGACCAUCUAAGUCAAGACUAAAUGCAACACAGAAACACCAAAAUAGAGUGUUGAGAAUGACUUACAUCACUUCCAGGGACAGAUGCCAUUGAAGCUUGAACAGUCACUGAAACAAAAAUAAAAACAAAAGCAUGAAGCACAACAAAACAAACACCAUACUCAACACAAUAAAACAAAAGCUCAACGCAAUAAAGUGAUAAUUGUUCUUUUCUUUUGGGAUUAUGAUUAAGAGAAAAGAGAACAGAGCUCAACACAAUAAAAACAAAAGCAUGAAGCACAACAAAACAACACAAAUACACAGCAAGAGAAAAGAGAACAGAGCUCAACACAAUAAAACAGAGCAGUGAGAAUUCAUUAGAAAUGAUUUCGCCAUUAGAAAUGAAUACAUUUCUCAACAAACCAACACACAAGAGACAUUAGAGAUCUCCCAUAACAUUAAAAAUCUCACAUAACAUUUCAAGCUUUAGAACAUACUCUCUAGUAUCCUGCAAACAUCAAAGAAGAUGAAGCUUACCAGAAGGAAACCGAGAUGCUUUAGAACAGAGACCGUGUGAGAGAUACCAUCAAAGCUCCAUUCUUUCUGCUAAGAAAAACAAAACAAAUGAGAUUUCCAAAAGGUUACCAAUAGAGAGAGAGAGAGAGGGAGAGACUGCGUGAGUGAGAGAGAGAGAGAGAGAGAGAGAGAGAGAGAGACUGCGUGAGUGAGAGAGAGAGAGAGAGACUGCACCGAGGUCGAGAUCGGUUUACGAGAACCCCACCGUAGCAGAGGUGUAUUCGCGGCGGACUCUACCGUUCCGGCGUGCUUGAGGCGCAGAAGAAGCUCCACCACCACCGCGUCUUCCGUCAGAGCCGCCGUCACCCACUCGUCCUGCGUAACUGCCGUCGGUUUCCAAAAGGUUACCAAUAGAGAGAGAGAGAGGGAGAGACUGCGCCGACGCCUAAUCUCGACCUCGGUUUACGAGAACCCCACCGUAGCAGAGGUGUAUUCGCGGUGGACUCUACCGUUCCGGCGUGCUUGAGACGCAUAAGAAGCUUCACCACCACCGCGUCUUCCGUCAGAGCCGCCGUCACCCACUCGUCUUGCGUAACUGCCGUCGGUUUCUUCCUCGAAAUGGAACACUGAUAAAACUCUCGGAUACAGAAACGGCGAUAGAGAGAGAGAGAGAGAGAGAGAGAGAGAGAGAGAGAGAGAGAGAGAGAGAGACUUACCAAUAGAGCUUGAGAGAGGGAGAGACUGCGUGAGAGAGAGAUGGGUUCGAGAGAGAGACUCUGUGAGAGAGAGAGAUGGGUUCGAGAGAGAGAGACUGCCUGAGAGAGAGAGACAGAGAGAGAGGGCUGAGAGAGAUCAGAGGUUCAUGGUUGCAGAGAUCUGAGGUUGAAGAGAGGAGGAUGAAGAGAUACGGGAUCUAGGUUAAAAAAAAUUAAUGGCAAAACUUUUGUAAUUUUUAAAAUAAAAUAAGUGUAUUACCGACUUUUAGCACUUUUGGAUGAGUUUGCUGUAGUUGGAAGCGUUCAAGCAUCUCAUCCAGAAAUCCCGAAAAAUCCGGAUGAGUUUUCAAAAUUAAUCUGGAUGCCGC
This 3052-nucleotide long non-coding RNA is filed under the name Brassica napus (rape). RNAcentral's name for it is "long non-coding RNA (BNAP_LNC013155)". The record is from RNAcentral. Lineage: Eukaryota; Viridiplantae; Streptophyta; Magnoliopsida; Brassicales; Brassicaceae.